AAGAUUUUUUUUUUUUUUUUUUCCGACUCCGCUCAGCUUCAACAGAAAUACCACAGUUUAUGUAAAUACCUAAGGCACACUUGUACUACAUAACCAAAGGCUUAAUAAAUGUAAACAAAAACUGUAAAUAAGCCUUUCAACACUGCAAAUGUAUAUCAACUUUCUAUGACUGCAAACAUAUCAUAAAUCUAUGAUAGAUAUUGGCCAAACCUAAUGCUGCCUUUCAUGAUGUGAAAGUAGAUAUACACUUAAAAGAGUGAUCAAACAUUAUGAACUACUAAAACCACUUAUUAAACAUUCUUCGAGGGUCUGCAGCCUGCAAUUGGUACAAAACAAGCAGACAAACAAGUUUAUGCCCUUAUCAGUAUUGAAGAUAAUAUUGAAAACAAAAAGAAUCAAGGGCAGGUCCCUUGCAUUACUGCCAUAAGGAAAAUAGGUGAAGGCUGUGUAUGGAAGCAGAACAGGUGAGAUAGGGAUGAAUUAGAUGAUACAAUGGAAAAACUCUUAGUAGUAAUACAAACAGCUGAUUGUGGCAUUUGUAUAUAGUAAUGAAGGUGGCUUGAGGACAAAGAUAAUUCAAGCAUCUAUUAGCUAUGGCUUCAACAAUGUUUGUCGUAGAACAACUAGUUAAUUGUCAUUUUAGUUAGCAUUAACCAUGGCCUUGGCCUAUUGGUUAAUGACUAUUAGUCAAUCAUCAAUCAUUGAAGAGAUCAGAUCUAGAAGGCACAUCUCAAAAGAACUCUAGUUCAAAACAAAAGUUACAAAACAACACAUCAAAAGAUUGAUUCUACGAUCAAAGCAAAUGUAAGGUAACAGACCUGAAAUGUAAGGUAACAGACCUGAAUGCUGAAUCAAUCCCUAGGGAAGAGAAUGUGUUUCUAGAGAAACAGAAAGAGAGAUGAGAUGAGAAAAGAAUGGAGAUAAGAAGAGAAGAGAAUCUAGAUUAAUCCCCCACAGUCAGCAUCUAAGACUGUCAAUUCUACUGGGCUAACAAGAAUAAAAAAUUUGUUUAACUCCAAACAUUCUGGCUAGCCUUGAUAUGAGCUCAGGAUGUGCUAUGUCAAGAAAACAAGGACACAAUAAAUUUCAGAUUAAGCUCGAGCUUGGAUAUUGAAUAUAUUUUAAGCCGGCCUGGCCAGCCCAAACUGAAUAUAACAUUAAUAUUUAUAAUUAUUUGUCAUCGUAUUGCACAUCAAAUAUAUGUUAGGCAAGAGAAACAAAUUAAACUUCCUACUCAUACAUUGUCUUUAGCAGUCAUGUUAAGGGGACUCUUGAUAUUAAUUUGUAGCUCUAGGUAACUCUUGUAACUUUCUUUUUCAUAAUUAUGCUAAUAUUAGUAAGUAGACUUUGUUUUGUUGAGACAAAUGCACCUAUUUUGUAGCCACCUAUAGCUGUGUGCAGAAGUAUGAACUUCAUUGUGGAAUAAUGUGAUCAUAAUUCAUAAUAUGCAUCUUGUGUAUAUGGCAACUUAAAUUUACAUGACAUUUAAUUGAUAACUACAAGAUAGAGUUUAUAAUUAUUAAUUUUUUCAUUUAUAUGUUUUCAAUAUACUUUCUCCAUGUCUCUCAAUCAGGAUAGAGGAGGUGGGCUACUUUGCAUCUGCUGCUGCGUUGUUGGAGGCAUGUGUAGCUCAUCUUGGUGGCAAUUAUUAUUGCUUCAAUAGUUAGUGGAACAGGAACCUAAUUCCAAUUUGCAUUUUAAUAGUGAAAAUGACUUUCAAAAAGAUAGGCUUGAAAAACUUAAACAAAGGGGUUCUUAUCAGGGAAAAGAGAAGAAGAGGAAGCCUCAAAAUUUAAGUAAUCCAAGCUCAGGCCAAUCAACAUCUCAUUAUUCUAAUAUCAAUUGUGCCAAGCUUUACUUCAGCACUGCACAUUAACUGUCCUAGUGGCAUUCAGAGGUUGCGAAUUUUGUGCUCCUCACACAAAGUACACAACAAAGUUUCAAAAACCAACAAAGAAACUACUAAAUACAAACCAAGUAGGUUGCCCUAUUUUGUUUAGCGAAUAGCUGCACAAAAUUUACAAGUGGGAUGAUGAUAAACAUAUAUACUUCAAGAUACAUCAGGUGUAGAAAGAGAUUCCAUACCCAGGAAGGCCACAAUU
RNAcentral lists this unclassified non-coding RNA (2102 nucleotides) under Hevea brasiliensis (rubber tree). The record is from RNAcentral. Lineage: Eukaryota; Viridiplantae; Streptophyta; Magnoliopsida; Malpighiales; Euphorbiaceae.